CAGGCUUCAGGUGUGGAUAUUCUUCUGUGCUGGUCACUCGGAUGUGCCAGACCUUCUUCCAGGCCUCAUACAGCUGGAUGUGAACUGGGUAGACCCCGGAGUGAUGUGGAGCCACUGCGUACCCCAUGUCAGUCGAUCUCAGCAUCAGAGAAGCUGUUGUCCUUGGACAGCCUUGUAUCUAUUUGUAUGUAGCACACGAUAAAAACAGGGGAGAGAUGGAGGGAACUGGAAUUACAGUUUGAUAACUGCAGAGUGAUAAAUAAUCCUCUUGGAUUACAUUGUGUUACUGUUAUAUGGAAUAGGUUUGCCUAUCUGUUGAUUACAUAUUGUGUGCAUUUUAAGAUGUCCUAUUAUUUUGGUUCUUUUUAAAGGUAAACUAGGAAGCUGAUGCUAGUUAUUUAGUAAGUGAUCAAAUGGCAUUAGAGCAGUAAGCAGAAAAACUUGUUGCUGUGGCAUUUAUUUUUUGUUUCCUAUUACCAGAGUAAGAGCAAGAUGCCUUGCUGAUUCAAAACCAACUAACCAACCAAACAAAAACCAAAUAUCCCCUAUAGCUUCUGAAUCUGCUUAUAUUUUCCCAUGGCAUUAGGGCAGUAGCAAAAAUGCUAGGCUGAUAGACUUUUUUUUUUUUUUUUAAUAAAUAUUUAUUCAGUUCAGUUUCUAUGAGGAAAUAUGUGCAUUUUCAUGGAUAUAAUCUAUAGGCUAUCUUGAAAGUAUAUUCUGAUGAAACAGUGAGGAGGUUAUAUGCAGGCAGAAUGAAUUAAGAAAGUCACUUGAAUGUGAGUGUGCUGGUAUGCUGGGCAUGUGCCUUCGCUCACAAAUAUCUCCUGCCUUGUUCUGCUCCUAAUCUCUCCCAUUCACACGGGCUGUCUGAAAACCCCAUCUGAUGGGGUUAUCUGAUGGGGCCAGUUAACCACCUUUAAAGACUGGGAUGUUUUCAAGAGAUCAAAUUAUUUGAUCAGGUGGUUAAUUUUGUUGGUCUGAGUGAUGUUCAGAAUUGUACACAGCAUUUCGUCACCAGCUACAGCCAGGAAAAAAGGCUAUGUUCUGCCACUUCUCCAUCGCCCCUUCAGACCCCUCAACUUCCAAGCCCUUUUCAGCUCUACCAUGGGAUCUCCAGAUCUGUAAGCUGUCACACUGCUGUGGCUCUUGCAGGAUCACUUUCUGUGCUCUGGGUGUUUACUGCAUCUGCUUUAUUCCCAGUACCACACGGUGUGGGACAACGUCUGUGGCAUCAGCUCUCAGUGUUGCAAAACUUCCUCUCUUUUGCUAUCCUAUGGCUUACUAAAAUCACUCCCUUCUCCUUCCAGGAGAACAGCUACAUCAGCCAUUUUAUGCUCAUAUAUAACUAAUACAGCUGAAAAUGGUUAAAAUGUGAGAUAAUGUGUUUGUCCUUCCUCUUGCCCAUGUUAUCUAAUCACUUUAUCUAAUUACUUCAACUCUGGGAGUGGCAGAUUCUGCUGGGCAUCUUCAAGUGCUUUGCAAAGAAAGGCUUUUGGGUCAUUGACAAAAUUAACCCUAUGAGGAACACUUGCUCAUACACGACGUAAUGCAGCCACUUAAAAUUAUCCAUUGCUUAUUAGUAAUUAUCUUAGGUUACCAGAUGAUGGGGAGAGGAGGGGUGUGUAAAAAGAAACCAGAACUCAUUCUUUUGUAAUUUCCUGAGAGGAAAGUAUAAUUUCUGCUUAUUAAUGUUACAUACCUGAAACGCAUUUGUCAGUUUAAGGGUGAGAUGAUGAGUAGCUGUACAGUAAGUGUCAACUCCUUCUUUUUUUCUCUUUUCUUUAAACAUAUAGAAAGGAGUAAGUUAUAUCUAAGGGGUUUUGAAAAGUCUGGCUAUUUAUUAACAGGAUGCCUGAGUGUAUGAUGCUCACAGUUGGAUGGAUAUACUGUAUUGACUUGACUCUGCAAACCUUCACCAAAACUUGUUAGGGAGUAUACACAAAUGUAAAGCAAGUCUGUCUUGAGAUAUAGCUAAUGACUACUGCUGUGAAUAUGUCCGAAAGUAGGUAUCUGGAUGAAUACAUGUAAAAUCCUAUUUAUCUACUUAGUAUUUGCAGCUGUUAUUGCCAUAGAAACAGAAUGGUGAAAUGGUAAUUUACCAUUCACAAAUAAAAUAAGGCAGCAUAUUGUAAGUUCUCAAUAUAAAAAGCUAAUUAGCCUCUGAAUAAACCUGGGCACUACUUAGUUCAUCACAUAAAUACACGUCAGUCACUCAGACACCCAAUACAACUUUAAGAAGGAAAAACUAAGGCAUAAUCAGAUUUUCUUUGACCAGUUCCAUGUUCGAUUUACUUGGGUAAAUUAAAUAUAUAUAUCCUCUUUUAGUGA
Anas platyrhynchos (mallard) is the source of this 2328-nucleotide non-coding RNA. Lineage: Eukaryota; Metazoa; Chordata; Aves; Anseriformes; Anatidae. The record is from RefSeq and is a predicted model, not a curated record.